GUCGAGCGCAGGAAGCAAGCUGAUCCCCUUCGGGGGUGACGCUUGUGGAAUGAGCGGCGGACGGGUGAGUAACACGUGGGCAACCUGCCUGUAAGACUGGGAUAACCCCGGGAAACCGGGGCUAAUACCGGAUAAUACUUUCUUUUGCAUAAAGGAAAGUUGAAAGGCGGCUUCGGCUGUCACUUACAGAUGGGCCCGCGGCGCAUUAGCUAGUUGGUGAGGUAACGGCUCACCAAGGCGACGAUGCGUAGCCGACCUGAGAGGGUGAUCGGCCACACUGGGACUGAGACACGGCCCAGACUCCUACGGGAGGCAGCAGUAGGGAAUCUUCCGCAAUGGACGAAAGUCUGACGGAGCAACGCCGCGUGAGUGAUGAAGGUUUUCGGAUCGUAAAACUCUGUUGUUAGGGAAGAACAAGUUGGGUAGUAACUGACCCAACCUUGACGGUACCUAACCAGAAAGCCACGGCUAACUACGUGCCAGCAGCCGCGGUAAUACGUAGGUGGCAAGCGUUGUCCGGAAUUAUUGGGCGUAAAGCGCUCGCAGGCGGUCCUUUAAGUCUGAUGUGAAAUCUCGCGGCUCAACCGCGAACGGUCAUUGGAAACUGGAGGACUUGAGUACAGAAGAGGAGAGUGGAAUUCCACGUGUAGCGGUGAAAUGCGUAGAGAUGUGGAGGAACACCAGUGGCGAAGGCGACUCUCUGGUCUGUAACUGACGCUGAGGAGCGAAAGCGUGGGGAGCGAACAGGAUUAGAUACCCUGGUAGUCCACGCCGUAAACGAUGAGUGCUAGGUGUUAGGGGGUUUCCGCCCCUUAGUGCUGAAGUUAACGCAUUAAGCACUCCGCCUGGGGAGUACGGCCGCAAGGCUGAAACUCAAAAGAAUUGACGGGGGCCCGCACAAGCGG
This 905-nucleotide ribosomal RNA is filed under the name Oceanobacillus sp. AU244. Its description in RNAcentral is "bacterial SSU rRNA". It matches the Rfam family "Bacterial small subunit ribosomal RNA", at positions 46 to 932 of the family's 1533-position model. Lineage: Bacteria; Bacillati; Bacillota; Bacilli; Caryophanales; Bacillaceae. The record is from RNAcentral.